RNAcentral lists this long non-coding RNA (301 nucleotides) under Androctonus crassicauda. Lineage: Eukaryota; Metazoa; Arthropoda; Arachnida; Scorpiones; Buthidae. The record is from RNAcentral.
GUAUAGUUUCUCAGAAACUCAUCGUACUUGUUUUCUUGCAUUACUGCAAUCUUCUUCGUUUUGUCCUCUCUUGUGAUUGUUGGGUCGUUCUGAUGUGCCCAGAUCGUGGUUCUUCUAGUGAGGUUGGUUUCGUGGACGCCAGUGUUGUUUGGCUUCUUGGGUCGUUUCUGUUUCGUGGCCUAUCUUGCUUGGUGCCGCCUGUGCUUGUGCUUGGUGCUGUCGCUUUCUUGCAUAUCCUUGAGCGGGUCUUCUAUUGUUGGCGCAUUGCUGCUUGGUUUGGGGAGGGGUGGCGCGUGCCGGG